RNAcentral lists this non-coding RNA (46 nucleotides) under Caenorhabditis japonica. RNAcentral describes it as "sRNA CJA49027". It matches the Rfam family "Histone 3' UTR stem-loop". Rfam says of the family: The mRNAs of metazoan histone genes lack a poly-A tail. 3' end processing occurs at a site between a highly conserved stem-loop (modelled by this family) and a purine rich region around 20 nts downstream (the histone downstream element, or HDE). The record is from RNAcentral. Lineage: Eukaryota; Metazoa; Nematoda; Chromadorea; Rhabditida; Rhabditidae.
CCAACGGCCCUCUUUAGGGCCACAUUUUUCAAAAAUCCACUAAUUG